This 475-nucleotide ribosomal RNA is filed under the name uncultured organism. RNAcentral describes it as "partial 16S ribosomal RNA". It matches the Rfam family "Bacterial small subunit ribosomal RNA", at positions 334 to 800 of the family's 1533-position model. The record is from RNAcentral.
CACUCCUGCGGGAGGCAGCAGUGGGGAAUUUUGGACAAUGGGCGAAAGCCUGAUCCAGCAAUGCCGCGUGAGUGAAGAAGGCCUUCGGGUUGUAAAGCUCUUUUGUCAGGGAAGAAACGGUGAGAGCUAAUAUCUUUUGCUAAUGACGGUACCUGAAGAAUAAGCACCGGCUAACGACGUGCCAGCAGCAGCGGUAAUACGUAGGGUGCAAGCGUUAAUCGGAAUUACUGGGCGUAAAGCGUGCGCAGGCGGUUUUGUAAGUCUGAUGUGAAAUCCCCGGGCUCAACCUGGGAAUUGCAUUGGAGACUGCAAGGCUAGAAUCUGGCAGAGGGGGGUAGAAUUCCACGUGUAGCAGUGAAAUGCGUAGAUAUGUGGAGGAACACCGAUGGCGAAGGCAGCCCCCUGGGUCAAGAUUGACGCUCAUGCACGAAAGCGUGGGGAGCAAACAGGAUUAGAAACCCUUGUAGUCCCAUGA